GUUAGGUACACAGACCCAUUAAAGCGGUUUAGUAAAGCAGUUCUCAUCUCAAGCGUUAUCCACAGAUAAUCCUUUCUUUUGAGCCUUCUUAUCGUUACUAAUUAGAUUGUGUGCGAAGCCCUUUUCGCCGUAAGGCUACAUAGAAUUUAAGGAAUUACCUGUGUCUAAUAAAAUGACUGGUUUAGUAAAAUGGUUUAACGAGUCUAAAGGUUUUGGUUUUAUUACCCCUGACAAUGGUAGUAAAGAUGUGUUUGUACACUUCUCUGCUAUUCAGAGUGGUGGCUUUAAAACGCUGAAUGAAGGCCAAAAAGUUGAGUUCAGCAUUACUGCUGGUGCAAAAGGGCCGUCAGCUGAAAACGUUGUAGCUGCCUGAUAUUUUU
This 380-nucleotide small RNA is filed under the name Citrobacter braakii. Its description in RNAcentral is "cspA thermoregulator". It matches the Rfam family "cspA thermoregulator", at positions 1 to 378 of the family's 428-position model. The record is from RNAcentral. Lineage: Bacteria; Pseudomonadati; Pseudomonadota; Gammaproteobacteria; Enterobacterales; Enterobacteriaceae.